CCUACGGGGGGCAGCAGUGAGGAAUAUUGCGCAAUGGGCGAAAGCCUGACGCAGCGACGCCGCGUGAGGGAUGAAGGUCUUCGGAUCGUAAACCUCUGUCAGCAGGGAGGAACGGUCACUGUGCUAAUCAGCAGUGAAUUGACGGUACCUGCAAAGGAAGCACCGGCUAACUCCGUGCCAGCAGCCGCGGUAAUACGGAGGGUGCGAGCGUUAAUCGGAAUUACUGGGCGUAAAGCGCUCGUAGGCGGUAUGUCAAGUCAAGGGUGAAAUCCCCGCGCUCAACGUGGGAACUGCCUUUGAAACUGGCAAACUGGAGUGUGUGAGAGGAUAGUGGAAUUCCAGGUGUAGGAGUGAAAUCCGUAGAUAUCUGGAGGAACAUCAGUGGCGAAGGCGACUAUCUGGAACAUAACUGACGCUGAGGAGCGAAAGCGUGGGUAGCAAACAGGAUUAGAUACCCUAGUAGUC
RNAcentral lists this ribosomal RNA (465 nucleotides) under uncultured bacterium. RNAcentral describes it as "partial 16S ribosomal RNA". It matches the Rfam family "Bacterial small subunit ribosomal RNA", at positions 338 to 795 of the family's 1533-position model. The record is from RNAcentral.